RNAcentral lists this long non-coding RNA (723 nucleotides) under Homo sapiens (human). RNAcentral's name for it is "non-protein coding lnc-MNDA-1:1". Lineage: Eukaryota; Metazoa; Chordata; Mammalia; Primates; Hominidae. The record is from RNAcentral.
AUGGUGAGUAAAUACAAGAACAAUGUUCUGCUGAAAGGAUUAGAAGCCAUCAAUGACUAUCACUUCAGCAUAAUUAAUUCCUUACUGAUCAAUGAUUUAAAACUUAAUUCAACAAGGAGAGACGAAUAUGACAAAAUUCAGAUUGCCGACUUGAUGGAAGAAAAGUUCCCAGGUGAUGCUGGUUUUGGCAAACUGAGAACUCUUCAAAGAAAUACCAACACUGGGAGAGGAGACCUUGCUGAAACUCUUAGAAAAGUCAAAAGUUGUGAAUAAAAUUAAAUCCAUUCCAGCAAAAGGAAAAACCUCAUCAAAGAAGAGGAAGCAGAGAAAAGUAGGUCCAACUACACCUUUAGCAACCACAGACAAGAAGUUCACAGCUGAAGGAGGAGAGGAGACUCCUAUAGCUCAGAAAAGAAAAAACCCAACCAAAGAAAAGGCUGGAACCAAAAGGAGUAAGAUAUCCGAGGAGCAGACUCAGCCUCCCUGUCCUGCAGGAGCCGGCAUGUCCACAGCCAUGGGCAUUCCCCACCUCCCCAGACCUCAUCAUCAGCUCCACCCAACACUUCCUCAACUGAGAAUACAGGAACCAUGGAUGUAGUCAGGAAUGAAAAAUGGCACAAUAUCAAGUGUGAGGAAGGAGAUAAGUUUUGAUUAUUCUGCUUUCAUCUAAGAACAAUUGACUACAAGCUAAAAUUGAUUUGUAGAAUUCACAUUUUUAUCAAG